GAGAAAUGAAAAAAUACUUGUAUUCAAAUAAAAUUAGAAUCAACUCAAUUCAGUCUCAUGAUACAAAUUGGAGUUUCAGUAAAUCAAUUAAUUGGGAAAAGAAAAAGUGUCUAGCCACUCAUGGUGACUCUUAAUACAACAUAAUGGAAAGAGAGAGGAGAAAAAGUGGAAAAAUUACAGGUGUUACAGUGGGCAGCAUGAGGAAGAAGAUCUUUAUUUUUGGCCUGUGGCCUCUUUUACAGACAAAAAGGAUUAUGGUUUCCUUUUGAGAUUCUUCCAAUGAUUUCAGCACUUAGCUUGCUUUCCAAAAUCAUCUUCUCCUUGAUUUUUGGUUUUCAAUCUAAGUUGUAGCGGGAUUCUCU
RNAcentral lists this long non-coding RNA (362 nucleotides) under Carica papaya (papaya). Its description in RNAcentral is "long non-coding RNA (CPAP_LNC000182)". Lineage: Eukaryota; Viridiplantae; Streptophyta; Magnoliopsida; Brassicales; Caricaceae. The record is from RNAcentral.